UACGUAGGUCGCAAGCGUUGUCCGGAUUUACUGGGCGUAAAGAGCGCGCAGGCGGCUGGUCAAGUCCGAUGUGAAAUCUCCCGGCUCAACUGGGAAACUGCAUCGGAAACUGAUCGGCUUGAAGAUGGGAGAGGGUAGUGGAAUUCCCGGUGUAGUGGUGAAAUGCGUAGAUAUCGGGAGGAACACCAGUGGCGAAGGCGACUACCUGGCCUGUUUCUUGACGCUGAGGCGCGAAAGCUAGGGGAGCAAACGGG
RNAcentral lists this ribosomal RNA (254 nucleotides) under uncultured bacterium. Its description in RNAcentral is "partial 16S ribosomal RNA". It matches the Rfam family "Bacterial small subunit ribosomal RNA", at positions 524 to 776 of the family's 1533-position model. The record is from RNAcentral.